RNAcentral lists this ribosomal RNA (497 nucleotides) under uncultured bacterium. RNAcentral's name for it is "partial 16S ribosomal RNA". It matches the Rfam family "Bacterial small subunit ribosomal RNA", at positions 28 to 507 of the family's 1533-position model. The record is from RNAcentral.
GAUGAACGCUGGCGGCGUGCCUAAUACAUGCAAGUCGAGCGAACAGAUAAGGAGCUUGCCCUUUUGAAGUUAGCGGCGGACGGGUGAGUAACACGUGGGUAACCUACCUAUAAGACUGGGAUAACUUCGGGAAACCGGAGCUAAUACCGGAUAACAUUUAGAACCGCAUGGUUCUAAAGUGAAAGAUGGUUUUGCUAUCACUUAUAGAUGGACCCGCGCCGUAUUAGCUAGUUGGUAAGGUAACGGCUUACCAAGGCGACGAUACGUAGCCGACCUGAGAGGAUGAUCGGCCACACUGGAACUGAGACACGGUCCAGACUCCUACGGGAGGCAGCAGUAGGGAAUCUUCCGCAAUGGGCGAAAGCCUGACGGAGCAACGCCGCGUGAGUGAUGAAGGUUUUCGGCUCGUAAAACUCUGUUAUUAGGGAAGAACAAAUGUGUAAGUAACUGUGCACAUCUUGACGGUACCUAAUCAGAAAGCCACGGCUAACUACGUG